RNAcentral lists this ribosomal RNA (250 nucleotides) under uncultured prokaryote. RNAcentral's name for it is "partial 16S ribosomal RNA". It matches the Rfam family "Bacterial small subunit ribosomal RNA", at positions 524 to 773 of the family's 1533-position model. The record is from RNAcentral.
UACGUAGGGGGCGAGCGUUGUCCGGAAUGAUUGGGCGUAAGGGGCGCGUAGGCGGCCUGGUAAGUUAGGAGUGGAAGUCCUGUUUUCAAGAUGGGAAUCGCUUUUAAUACUGUCGGGCUGGAGUACAGGAGAGGAAAGCGGAAUUACCGGUGUAGCGGUGAAAUGCGUAGAGAUCGGUAGGAACACCAGUGGCGAAGGCGGCUUUCUGGACUGAAACUGACGCUGAGGCGCGAAAGCGUGGGGAGCAAAC